AAUACGUUCCCGGGCCUUGUACACACCGCCCGUCACACCAUGGGAGUUGGUUUUACCCGAAGCCGGUGCGGUAACCCUAACGGGGGCUAGCCGACCACGGUAAGGUCAGCGACUGGGGUG
RNAcentral lists this ribosomal RNA (120 nucleotides) under uncultured bacterium. Its description in RNAcentral is "partial 16S ribosomal RNA". It matches the Rfam family "Bacterial small subunit ribosomal RNA", at positions 1365 to 1482 of the family's 1533-position model. The record is from RNAcentral.